RNAcentral lists this long non-coding RNA (683 nucleotides) under Mytilus galloprovincialis (Mediterranean mussel). The record is from RNAcentral. Lineage: Eukaryota; Metazoa; Mollusca; Bivalvia; Mytilida; Mytilidae.
AUGUUCUACAUCUUUAUUUUCAUAAUUCCUGGACACAUAUUGUUCAUAAAUAGAAAAUAUUUACAAAUACAUAGAUGACAUAUAUUGAAGAUAUAACUGUAAAAUAGUACAGUACAAUAAAGUACUUUUAAUAUGUUGUCUACCUUCAGAAUAAAAUAAUGUUUAACAUGUUACCAAAAUUCUAAGAUGGAAAUGGAAGAAUACAUUUAGGUCAUGUUUGGUCAACUUGAACAAAAUUAAUAAAGCAUAAUGUAUUAUAGUGUACCCUUCUUUAACUACAGUAAACCUGCUGCUUACAUCAUUUAAGGAUGCACAAAUACAAAAUAUAACAAACUUAGAUGAACCUGCAAAGUAAGUUGUUAAAUUAGCAUUUCUUUUAAGGACUUUCUCAUGACUAAGGAAACAAUGUAGGUAUGCCUAACAUAGGCAGAUCUUUCUUCUAAAACUUCAAUGAUAUUAACUAAUUUCUAAUGUUAAGUGUUUUUUGAGGGAGAUGUGCGGUUUUCAAUUUUUUGAAAGGUAUUUUAAUUUCAAAAGUUUCGGAUAUAUAAACUUUCCCCAAUUGAAAACCAGGAUUUUACUGGAAAAGUCCAGGUAUGAAAAAAAGAUAUGAAAUGAUUUUUCAAACAUUUGUCAAAGGAUGUUUUUAAAAAAAAAUCCAAUUUUGUGAACAUUUAUAAUUC